UACGGGGGGGGUAAGCGUUGUUCGGAAUUACUGGGCGUAAAGCGCACGUAGGUGGUUUUAUAAGUCGGAUGUGAAAGCCCCGGGCUUAACCUGGGAAUUGCAUCCGAGACUGUCUGACUAGAGUAUGCUAGAGGGAAGUGGAAUUCCAGGUGUAGCGGUGAAAUGCGUAGAUAUCUAGAGGAACACCAAUGGCGAAGGCAACUUCCUGGGGCAAUACUGACACUGAUGUGCGAAAGCGUGGGGAGCAAACAGG
Molecule: ribosomal RNA, 253 nt
Filed under: uncultured bacterium
Lineage: Bacteria
Description: partial 16S ribosomal RNA
Rfam family: Bacterial small subunit ribosomal RNA
Source: RNAcentral